GCGCAAGGCAUCUGGGGAUCUUGCUAAACAUAAAUGCAGGUUCUGAUUUGUAGGUCUGGGGAGAGGCCUGAGAGUGUGCAUUUCCAACAAGCUCUCAGAUGUCUCUGCU
Molecule: microRNA precursor, 109 nt
Filed under: Marmota monax (woodchuck)
Lineage: Eukaryota; Metazoa; Chordata; Mammalia; Rodentia; Sciuridae
Source: RNAcentral